This 492-nucleotide ribosomal RNA is filed under the name uncultured bacterium. Its description in RNAcentral is "partial 16S ribosomal RNA". It matches the Rfam family "Bacterial small subunit ribosomal RNA", at positions 29 to 507 of the family's 1533-position model. The record is from RNAcentral.
AGUGAACGCUGGCGGUAGGCCUAACACAUGCAAGUCGAACGGCAGCACAGUAAGAGCUUGCUCUUACGGGUGGCGAGUGGCGGACGGGCGAGGAAUACAUCGGAAUCUACUUUUUCGUGGGGGAUAACGUAGGGAAACUUACGCUAAUACCGCAUACGACCUACGGGUGAAAGCAGGGGAUCUUCGGACCUUGCGCGAUUGAAUGAGCCGAUGUCGGAUUAGCUAGUUGGCGGGGUAAAGGCCCACCAAGGCGACGAUCUGUAGCUGGUCUGAGAGGAUGAUCAGCCACACUGGAACUGAGACACGGUCCAGACUCCUACGGGAGGCAGCAGUGGGGAAUAUUGGACAAUGGGCGCAAGCCUGAUCCAGCCAUACCGCGUGGGUGAAGAAGGCCUUCGGGUUGUAAAGCCCUUUUGUUGGGAAAGAAAAGCAGCAGGUUAAUACCCCGCUGUUCUGACGGUACCCAAAGAAUAAGCACCGGCUAACUUCGUG